Long non-coding RNA from Prunus avium (sweet cherry), 886 nucleotides. RefSeq lists it as uncharacterized. The record is from RefSeq and is a predicted model, not a curated record. Lineage: Eukaryota; Viridiplantae; Streptophyta; Magnoliopsida; Rosales; Rosaceae.
UUGGACUCCAAAAGCCAAAACUAAAACUCACGGAUCUGUUUCUCUCUAUCUCUCCCUCACAUUUCUCUCAGCCUUUCCUUCGUUUCCUAACCCUAGCCGCACACAACACAACACUCACUACUCUCAUCUCAUCGCAUCAUUCAUCUCCAUCUUCAUCACCUUUGGCAGACAAUGUCAUCACCUUUGGCCUCUUCGUCGUCUCCCCAGUGUAACCUCUCUCUCUCUCUCUCUCUCUCUCUGUAUACUUGAUGGUUUUAUAAAUAUGGGUCUUCUUCAUUUCGUCUUUUUUCUAGUAGGUUCUGCGAUGGUGAUGAUGAUGUGUGGGUCUUCAUUUCGUCUUUUCUCUCUCUCUCUCUAUAAAUUAAUGGGUCUUCAAUUAGAUUGGGAGAGGGAUAUGUGGGUGUUGCUUCAAUUUUUCUACAGGUAGCAGAAUUCAAGGAAUCUUCUAAACGUGGAUCUUUCACAGCUCUUUCAAGUUCCCUUGGACAUAUACUCAUGCAGCUUCAUACAGGUAUUUUAUACUUAAUUCAACGUGAAAGUCAUGGUAGAUUGAUGGCAUCCUUGUUCAAGAUUCUCAUACACCUUGCUCACAAAAAUGGAUGAAUUUGAGUCAGACUCGAAGGUGGUGGUUGUUGCUGCAAUCUGAAGAGAGUGCAUCUACAGGAAUCUGAAGAGGGUGCAGCAUUAGAGUCUAAGAAAAUGAGCCAUAACACUCGCAUGGCUCUGAUAAAGUUCUUACAGAAAAAACGAUACGGCAGCCAUUGAUGCUUAUUUUUGGUUUGAUUUGUAUUAAUCAAUUGGCAGCCAUUGAAGCUUAUUUCUAUUUGUAUGCAAAUGUGGGAUUGUAUGUUGAACUUUGUUUUACUGGAAAUUUGGUUAACUUUCA